GCGCACAGAGCGAGCUCUUGCAGCCUCCCCGCCCCUCCUGCAACGCUCGACCCCAGGAUUCCCCCGGCUCGCCUGUCCGCCAUGGCCGACAAGGAAGCAGCCUUCGACGACGCAGUGGAAGAACGAGUGAUCAACGAGGAAUACAAAAUAUGGAAAAAGAACACCCCUUUUCUUUAUGAUUUGGUGAUGACCCAUGCUCUGGAGUGGCCCAGCCUAACUGCCCAGUGGCUUCCAGAUGUAACCAGGUGACAUGACUCUCCCGAACGUUAUUUUGAUGUAUUUUCAGUGUAGAUUUCUCAUUGAUUUUCUUUUUUCCGCUCUUCAGUCACCCGGAGAAGGCAUGUGAUCAAAACCUCUUGGUGACAUUUUUUCUAGGCCACAAAGUAAGGCAAAAUAACAAAAUGAUUUUGUAACUUACCUGACAAGAGAAAACAUAUUGGCGUUUUUUUCUCAAUACUGAAUUAAAUAGCUGUAGCUGAUGAUAAUACCUGUAAUAAUAGUGGCUGUACCAAAUAAUAGUACAAAACUUGUCAACUUUCAAAAAGUAUUAUGGCCAGGAGCAGUGGCUCACACUUGGAAUCUGAGCACUUUGGGAGGCCCAGGCAGGAGGCUUACUUGAGGCCAGGAGUUGGAGACCAGCCCUGGGAAUACCCCCGUCUCUACUGCCCCCCACACAAAAAAAGAAAAA
RNAcentral lists this small RNA (688 nucleotides) under Pan troglodytes (chimpanzee). RNAcentral's name for it is "retained intron". The record is from RNAcentral. Lineage: Eukaryota; Metazoa; Chordata; Mammalia; Primates; Hominidae.